This 24-nucleotide non-coding RNA is filed under the name Cricetulus griseus (Chinese hamster). The record is from RNAcentral. Lineage: Eukaryota; Metazoa; Chordata; Mammalia; Rodentia; Cricetidae.
UGAAGUUCAGACAAGGCUCGAAGA